This 497-nucleotide ribosomal RNA is filed under the name uncultured bacterium. Its description in RNAcentral is "partial 16S ribosomal RNA". It matches the Rfam family "Bacterial small subunit ribosomal RNA", at positions 28 to 507 of the family's 1533-position model. The record is from RNAcentral.
GAUGAACGCUGGCGGCGUGCCUAAUACAUGCAAGUCGAGCGAACGGACGAGAAGCUUGCUUCUCUGAUGUUAGCGGCGGACGGGUGAGUAACACGUGGAUAACCUACCUAUAAGACUGGGAUAACUUCGGGAAACCGGAGCUAAUACCGGAUAAUAUUUUGAACCGCAUGGUUCAAAAGUGAAAGACGGUCUUGCUGUCACUUAUAGAUGGAUCCGCGCUGCAUUAGCUAGUUGGUAAGGUAACGGCUUACCAAGGCAACGAUGCAUAGCCGACCUGAGAGGGUGAUCGGCCACACUGGAACUGAGACACGGUCCAGACUCCUACGGGAGGCAGCAGUAGGGAAUCUUCCGCAAUGGGCGCAAGCCUGACGGAGCCACGCCGCGUGGGUGAAGAAGGUCUUCGGAUCGUAAAACUCUUUUAUUAGGGAAGAACAUAUGUGUAAGUAACUGUGCACAUCUUGACGGUACCUAAUCAGAAAGCCCCGGCUAACUUCGUG